RNAcentral lists this small RNA (755 nucleotides) under Drosophila pseudoobscura pseudoobscura. RNAcentral describes it as "GA32360". The record is from RNAcentral. Lineage: Eukaryota; Metazoa; Arthropoda; Insecta; Diptera; Drosophilidae.
AGGAGAGGGGGGACCGGGAACCCGGACGGAGUAAGGGGUGUUGAAGCAUUCCGUAUCCCGGGAUUCGGAUCCCCAUCGACCAUUUGACACAUGUGUCACUUGCAACCGUUCCGCUCGUUCCGCUGUGGCUGUGGCAGAGACUCGACUCUCGACUCUGGUGCUGGAGCUGUCGCUGUCGCCGUCGCCGUCGCUGUCGCCGUCGCCUGAGCCUUCGGUUGACAGCUGUCAGUGUCAGUUUACAUAAUUUAUAGAUUUCAGCGCAUAAAAAAGUCAUAAAAUUUACAAUGUUGCUUUCGGGCAGCGCCUCGCCCCGUCUCCCCGUCUCUCACUCGCUGAUGCCUUAUUUUUAUGAGCAAAGACAUCAAUUUUUCGCACAGCACAGCACAGCAGAGCAGAGCAGAGCACAGUCUAGCCUGGCUAGCAACAACCCGGCCACGGCAGCAAGCAGCACUAUUCGUAUUCUUCUCGGUCCCAGAGUGUCGGUCCCAGAGCUGGCGAGGAUUUCCAUUGGCAUUGCCAUUCGAAAUGCUUUUGAUUUAUUUCUCUGGCGAUAAAUCCUCGCACUCAACAAAAUACAUCAACGAUUUAUAGUGGCCCAAGCGGUACAGAACGACCCGAACAAUAACUAACAAAACGCACCAGCAGCAGCAGCGGCGUCGGCAGCAGCGACAGCAGCGACAGCGGCAGCGGCAGUAGCAACAAUGGAUAUGAGCCGAAAGGAGCCAAGUCCCUCAACGCGACAUAAAUCUUCAAUA